Molecule: ribosomal RNA, 251 nt
Filed under: Leotiomycetes sp.
Lineage: Eukaryota; Fungi; Ascomycota; Leotiomycetes
Description: partial small subunit ribosomal RNA
Rfam family: Eukaryotic small subunit ribosomal RNA (bases 1-105)
Source: RNAcentral
AACGAGACCUUAACCUGCUAAAUAGCCAGGCUAGCUUUGGCUGGUCGCCGGCUUCUUAGAGGGACUAUCGGCUCAAGCCGAUGGAAGUUUGAGGCAAUAACAGGUUGGCACACAGGCCUGUAAAAGUAGGUUUUGACCUGCUAGUCUAGCACCUAAUCUCCGUGAAGAAGUCUUCUUCUGCCGGGCGGAGAGAUGCGAAAGCAUUCGGUGUGGGCAACACUACCUGGAACAGGGGACGCCGGAGGCCUUCG